Molecule: long non-coding RNA, 537 nt
Filed under: Cyanistes caeruleus (blue tit)
Lineage: Eukaryota; Metazoa; Chordata; Aves; Passeriformes; Paridae
Description: lncRNA (ENSCCEG00000021087.1)
Source: RNAcentral
AGUGCUGAAAUCAAUAUUCCAGAGCACCUGCAGCAGCAUCAGUGUCCUUUCUCCCUCCUUACAGGGGGACUGAGGUGCUCUGCUGCUGCCUUCUGCAUCUGAGCCAAAUCAGGAGUAAGUGCUACAAAGAGGGCAGAGAGCAGAUUUAUUCCUGUGUAAUUGGUGUCAGGUUUGACUGGGGAAGGAGAGGCAAAUGACAGGAGGAAACCACAGCCUGUGCUCUUGGGUACUGUCCUGCAGGAUGAUUACUCACCCUGGGAAAUCCCAUCUCCAGAGGGCUCAUACUGGAAAACCCCAGUGGGGCUGGAGCACUUCAGCUUUGAGACCAGAAUGACGUAAGAGGAUGGAUGUAUUGGAGAAAAAUACAAUUAAACACCAAAUAUGUGGAAAUGUACUUGAGGUAAUAAGCAAAAUGCUGGAGUAAGGACACAGGGACCACUGGUGUCCUCUGGCACUGCCUAAGGAAUUUUUCAGCUUUGUGACAAGUUUGGUGCCUGAGAUUCUUGGAGUUCAAGGUGGUGGGUGUGCAUAUCUGGG